UCAUCUAAGGCCUCUGACACAGUACCCCACAACAUCCUUCUCUCCACAUUGGAAAGAGAUGGAUUUGAUGGAUGGACUCUUUGGAUGAAGAAUUGACUGCUGGGUCGAGUCCAGAGAGCGGUGGUCAAUUGCUCAAUGUCUGGAUGCAGAUUGAUGGCAAGCAGUGUCCCCCAGGGGUCGCUGCUGGGGCCGAUACUCUUCAAUAUCUUCAUUGGUGACAUUGACAGUGUGAUGGAGUGCGCCCUCAGCAAGUUUUCUGACACCAAGCUGUGAGGUUCCCUGGAGCAAGCAUUGCAUUUGGCUGUCAGCAGGGGGCUGCUGUGUAAGGAUCUUAGCUGUGUGGGUGAACACCCUGCCUGCCCUCCUUUAGUGCUGUGCUAACCUUGAUGGAAACAGGAAUGGAUGAGUGGUACAUCUCUUCUACAUGAGGGAUGAAUGGAUGCUUUAUCACUCUCUUUGAGGAUGCCUGCAUCUGCAAAGUGGCUGAAAAGGAAAUGUAAAAAGGAGCUGGAUGUUUCUGCACAGGUGGCAGUGGGCAGCCCAAGGCUCACGUGGAGUGGAUUCCUGAGAUGUCUGCAGUUUCCCACGGUUGUUCCUGAGCUGUGUGACUGCACACAGCCUUUCUCCUGCACCAGUGCACAGGGAACAGGGCAAAAUUUAGGUCAUGCUUAAUCUGUACUGAAGAUUAACAUGUUCAUGUUAUGGAUGUGAGGAGCAUGUAAUGAAAUCAGAUUAAAGCAGUAGUUAUUAUGGACAUUAUUUACACAUCAUCGUAUCUAUUUGUAAAGACAUGUAGGUUGCUCCAGAAGUGUUGCUUCCUAUUUCUUUCCAUGAAAACUUCAACAGGUACCACAAUAGUACCACAAAAGACCACAAUAACACUAUUUGAGAGAGCAAAUUCUCAGCUACAAAACAUUGUUUUUCAACAUGCUCACCACCAUUGGCUGUGAAUUUUCACCAGUGAUGAACAAGAGCCUGUAUGCUGUGCUCAUUAAAAAAAAAUAAAAAAUAAAAAAUAAAUCUGCACAGCCAUGUAGAAUGUGGUUUGUCUCUUGUAUUGCUAUCACCACUGCUGAACUGUAGAUGUUUGGUUUCCAUAAACGUUCAGCAAACAUUGAGAAGAGGCAUUACUUUCAAAGCAGCCCUUGUGCAUAGCCAUUUAGGUAUUUUGUAACCCAUUAUAUGAAGUCACUGAGCAGAGCCUUCAUACAAACAUUCCUGAAGUCUAAAAGUGACCUGCUGCUUACAUGAAAUUGUAUUUUUUUUGCAGUAAAAAUGUAGUCCUGUCAGUCAUCCUCUGCUUUUGCUGUUUUUCUGAUUCCUCACUCAU
Phasianus colchicus (ring-necked pheasant) is the source of this 1330-nucleotide long non-coding RNA. RefSeq lists it as uncharacterized. Lineage: Eukaryota; Metazoa; Chordata; Aves; Galliformes; Phasianidae. The record is from RefSeq and is a predicted model, not a curated record.